AGCACCACGCCGCGUGUGGGAAGAAGGUCUUCGGAUUGUAAACCCCUUUCAGUGGGGAAGAAGCGCUGGUGACGGUACCUGCAGAAGAAGCACCGCGCUAACUACGUGACACGCAGCCGCGGCUAAUACGUAAGGUGCCGAGCGUUGUUCCGGAAUUACUGAGCGUAAACAGCUCGUAGGCGGUUUGACACGCCCGUCUGUGAAAUCCCUCAGCCUAACCUGAAAGCCUCCAGGCUCAUACUGGCAAACUUCAACUACUACCUGGGAGACUGGAAUUCCGGGAGGAACGGAGAAAUCCCCAGAUAUCAGGAGAAACCCAGAGAUCAAGGCGAAUCCCUGGGUAGUAACUGACCUUCAGGACUGAAACUGUGGCUAACGAACAAGAUUAUAUACCCUGGAAAUCCUUACAUACCAUGGUGGGCGCUACGUGUGACGACCUUCACUAGACUCUGUGACCCAUCUAACCUAUUAGGCGCCCCUCCUGCGAAGUACCGCCGCAAGGCUAAGACUCGAAGAAUUGACGGGGGCCCGCAAAGCGGCGGA
This 543-nucleotide ribosomal RNA is filed under the name uncultured bacterium. RNAcentral's name for it is "bacterial SSU rRNA". It matches the Rfam family "Bacterial small subunit ribosomal RNA", at positions 388 to 936 of the family's 1533-position model. The record is from RNAcentral.